Long non-coding RNA from Glycine soja, 1908 nucleotides. RefSeq lists it as uncharacterized. Lineage: Eukaryota; Viridiplantae; Streptophyta; Magnoliopsida; Fabales; Fabaceae. The transcript is spliced from 10 exons. The record is from RefSeq and is a predicted model, not a curated record.
CACCUUUGAUGGGAGAUUUCUUGGAAUUGUAGAUGCAUCUACAUCGAUAUUCAUCACAUAUUCAGAUGUUAUUGAAAUAAUAGCAGGAGACAAAAGUCUGAACAUAUCUGUCAUACAAUUAUGGUUAAUGUAUAUUCAUGAGUGGAGUCAGAUAUUCAGUCAAGGUUUCAUGUAUGCAUUCCUUGAGCCACAGUCGUUGGUUUGUUCAAAGGAUAGACGCAGCGAAUGCGAACAAUAUCUUGAAAGAUGGCUUAAGGAAUCUGACCGAGAGGUGUACAUUGGACCUUACUUCCAUCAGGAACAUUGGCAACUCAUAAUUUUGUGUCCUAGGCAACAUGUUGUUGUUUGGUUCUGUUCUUUGCGUAGGAAACCUGAUAUGCAUAUCAAAGCUACAAUUAAUAGUGUAAUGACAAAAUUGAAGAAGACCUUGUCUCCUGAAACUAAGGCAGUUGCACCAAAGUGGAUUGAAGUAAAGAGUCACGUUCAAACCGGCUGUUAUGAAUGUGGAUAUUACAUAAUGCAUUGGAUCUGGAACAUCAUAGCCAGCGACAUAAAGAGUGAUUGGUCCAUGUGGUUUGCUAAUGACACACCGUUGGACAUCGGCAUCAUCACCACAAUUCGAAAGAAAUGGGCAACAUUUUUUUUAAAGACAGCAAUAAGUCAAAACGGCUAAUGAUGGCGUUGGAGUAUUUUUUUCCCUGUAUUUGAGACAAUUGUUAUGUUAUUUGACACAGCGGCUAUUUUAUUUUCGGUCAUGCUACUAAUAUUCUAUUCUUAGUAUUAUCUUCUCAAUUUCAUAUAAUUGUAGUAAUAUAUUGUCUUUACCCCCUUCUACUGCAUUGCAUCUGCAUUUGAUUACCACAGCAACAAUUUAGUGCAGCUAUAGUACCACCAAGCUUGCCACUGCAGCAGUUAAGUGAACAAAUGAAGUGUCCACAGUCAUUGGAUGGUUGCUUGGUAGAGGUACAUGCUAAUAACUAAUAAGAUUUCCUGUGCAGGGUAUCAUUGUUUUUGCAUGACUGAUGGCUACCUUGGGGCUGGAGAUUUUGGUUGAAUCUGCCUCAAGUGUUAUUUUGAAGAUGAUAUUAUCAUUUGACCUUGCUUUUGCUUGGAUUCCGCUCCUAAAGUUCAGUAGCAGCAAAGUGACUAGCAGCACAAGCAUUGAAGAGAGAUUGCAGGGAUUCCAAGGGAAGGGGACCAGGGGAUGAAAAAUAUGAUUAAAGAGAGUUCUUGAGGAGUUUGUCACAUGCUCAGGGAAGUGGAAGAUUUUGCACGAAGGUUAAAUUCUGCUUGGCCUGAAAGGAUGCAAAUUUGAUCUUUGGCCCAACACAGAAGACUAGUAACAAUUUCUAUGAAUAGCAAUGGUUCAACGCAGUUGUAUAUAGGCAAAAUACUUCAACGACGGUCCUUAUGAAAACCCGUCUUUAUAGCCUUAUUUACCAACAACGACGGGUGCUCCAGCCACCGUCGUUGAAACCUCAAACAACAAUGACGGUGUACACACCACCGACGUUGACAUACUACCAAACAACGUCGGUGGUGAGCCCGCCACCGAUGUUGACAGGAAACAAAACAACGACGGGUCUUGUGAACCCGACGUUGAAAUGGACCAAAACAACGACGGUGGUGCGCCCGCCACCGAUGUUGACAGGAAACAAAACAACGACGGGUCUUGCGAACCCGACGUUGAAAUGGACCAAAACAACGACGGGUUGUCUAAUAUGUGCGUCGUUGAAUCCUUUUUUAUAACGUCUGUUCUUUUAUAGCCACUGACGUUGUAUUCUUGCAUUACAAAGACGGGUCCUAUGAUGACCGAUGUCGUUGUUGUCGACAUACAACGACAUCUGGAACAAAGACGGUGUGGGGCCCGUCGUAGAUACCGGUUUUCAACCGAUGUAGAAGCUUCUU